AGAGUUUGAUCAUGGCUCAGGACAAACGCUGGCGGCGUGCCUAACACAUGCAAGUCGAACGGGGUACGUUCUUCGGAGCGUACCGAGUGGCGGACGGGUGAGUAAGACGUGGGCGACCUGCCGCUUGGAGGGGGAUACCCCGCGGAAACGCGGGUUAAGACCGCAUACGCUGGUCUGGGUAGAUCCGGAUCAGGAAAACGCUUCGGCGUGCCAAGUGAGGGGCCUGCGGCCGAUUAGCUAGUUGGGGGGGUAACGGCCUCCCAAGGCGACGAUCGGUAGCUGGUCUGAGAGGACGAUCGGCCACACUGGGAUUGAGAACGGCCCAGACUCCUACGGGGGGCAGCAGUGAGGGAUCUUCGGCAAUGGGGGAAACCCUGACCGAGCGACGCCGCGUGCGGGACGAAGGCCUUCGGGUCGUAAACCGCUUUUCUUGGGGACGAGAAUGGACGGUACCCGAGGAAGAAGCUCGGCUAACUACGUGCCAGCAGCGCGGUA
RNAcentral lists this ribosomal RNA (495 nucleotides) under uncultured bacterium. Its description in RNAcentral is "bacterial SSU rRNA". It matches the Rfam family "Bacterial small subunit ribosomal RNA", at positions 8 to 522 of the family's 1533-position model. The record is from RNAcentral.